Molecule: unclassified non-coding RNA, 245 nt
Filed under: plant metagenome
Description: partial contains small subunit ribosomal RNA, internal transcribed spacer 1, and 5.8S ribosomal RNA
Source: RNAcentral
UCUCCGUUGGUGAACCAGCGGAGGGAUCAUUACCGAGUUUACAACUCCCAAACCCAAUGUGAACGUUACCAAACUGUUGCCUCGGCGGGGUCACGCCCCGGGUGCGUCGCAGCCCCGGAACCAGGCGCCCGCCGGAGGAACCAACCAAACUCUUUCUGUAGUCCCCUCGCGGACGUUAUUUCUUACAGCUCUGAGCAAAAAUUCAAAAUGAAUCAAAACUCUCAACAACGGAUCUCUUGGUUCUG